AUUGAACGCUGGCGGCAGGCCUAUCACAUGCAAGUCGAGCGGAUGAAGGGAGCUUGCUCCUGGAUUCAGCGGCGGACGGGUGAGUAAUGCCUAGGAAUCUGCCUGGUAGUGGGGGAUAACGUCCGGAAACGGGCGCUAAUACCGCAUACGUCCUGAGGGAGAAAGUGGGGGAUCUUCGGACCUCACGCUAUCAGAUGAGCCUAGGUCGGAUUAGCUAGUUGGUGGGGUAAAGGCCUACCAAGGCGACGAUCCGUAACUGGUCUGAGAGGAUGAUCAGUCACACUGGAACUGAGACACGGUCCAGACUCCUACGGGAGGCAGCAGUGGGGAAUAUUGGACAAUGGGCGAAAGCCUGAUCCAGCCAUGCCGCGUGUGUGAAGAAGGUCUUCGGAUUGUAAAACACUUUAAGUUGGGAGGAAGGGCAGUAAGUUAAUACCUUGCUGUUUUGACGUUACCAACAGAAUAAGCACCGGCUAACUUCGUG
This 484-nucleotide ribosomal RNA is filed under the name uncultured bacterium. RNAcentral describes it as "partial 16S ribosomal RNA". It matches the Rfam family "Bacterial small subunit ribosomal RNA", at positions 30 to 507 of the family's 1533-position model. The record is from RNAcentral.